CAGAGGUGGCAAGCGUUGUUCGGAAUUACUGGGCGUAAAGGGCGCGUAGGCGGCCAUCUAAGUCAGACGUGAAAUCCCCCGGCUUAACCUGGGAACUGCGUCUGAUACUGGACGGCUCGAGUUUGGGAGAGGGAUGUGGAAUUCCAGGUGUAGCGGUGAAAUGCGUAGAUAUCUGGAGGAACACCGGUGGCGAAGGCGGCAUCCUGGACCAACACUGACGCUGAGGCGCGAAAGCUAGGGGAGCAAACGGGAUUAGAUACCCCGGUAGUCCUAGCCCUAAACGAUGAAUGCUUGGUGUGGCGGGUAUCGAUCCCUGCCGUGCCGAAGCUAACGCAUUAAGCAUUCCGCCUGGGGAGUACGGUCGCAAGGCUG
This 372-nucleotide ribosomal RNA is filed under the name uncultured organism. Its description in RNAcentral is "bacterial SSU rRNA". It matches the Rfam family "Bacterial small subunit ribosomal RNA", at positions 526 to 896 of the family's 1533-position model. The record is from RNAcentral.